This 314-nucleotide unclassified non-coding RNA is filed under the name Hevea brasiliensis (rubber tree). The record is from RNAcentral. Lineage: Eukaryota; Viridiplantae; Streptophyta; Magnoliopsida; Malpighiales; Euphorbiaceae.
AAUAUCAUUAUCUUUCACAAAUAGCUUGACUCAUAGAGACGAUAAACAUGGAGAUAGACAGUACCAUCAGGAUCAAAUACAGGUCCAACGUUUAAUAAAACUAGUAUUGCAUAGAAGUGACAAGAUUUUAGGAUAGAAGUGUCUCACAAAGAACAAUUUCAAAACCCACAAAUAUGCUGCUCAGCAAAUGCCUCAUAGUCAACAAGACAUAAUGACAAAUUAACCUUUGAAACAAACUUCACCAUCACAAAUCCAUCCCUCAUUUGUUUUCUGUUCCUCUUUGCCUUGAUCCUUUUGAUCUUCCUCGAUAUCCA